CGAGGGUGCUUGCACCCUAGUGGCGAACGGGUGAGUAACACGUAGGUAACCUGCCUUUUAGCUUGGGAUACCCAGAGGAAACUUUGGCUAAUACCGGAUAACAACAACCGAGGCAUCUCGGAUGUUUGAAAGGAGCUCUUGGCUUCACUAAAAGAUGGACUGCGGCGCAUUAGCUAGUUGGUGAGAUAACAGCCCACCAAGGCGAGGAUGCGUAGCCGAACUGAGAGGUUGAUCGGCCACAUUGGAACUGAGACACGGUCCAAACUCCUACGGGAGGCAGCAGUAAGGAGUUUUCGGCAAUGGGGGAAACCCUGACCGAGCAACGCCGCGUGAGUGAUGACGGCCCUAUGGGUUGUAAAGCUCUGUUGUAAAGGACGAAUGACGGGGUUAGGAAAUGAGCUCCGUUUGACGGUACUUUACCAGAAAGCCACGGCUAACUACGUGCCAGCAGCCGCGGUAAUACGUAGGUGGCAAGCGUUAUCCGGAAUUAUUGGGCGUAAAGAGUGAGCAGGCGGCAGUUUAAGUCUGAGGUGAAAGCGUGGGGCUCAACCCCAUAUAGCCUUGGAAACUGAACAGCUAGAGUACGAGAGAGGUAAACGGAACUCCAUGUGUAGCGGUGAAAUGCGUAGAUAUAUGGAAGAACACCAGUGGCGAAGGCGGUUUACUAGCUCGAUACUGACGCUCAGUCACGAAAGCGUGGGUAGCAAAUAGGAUUAGAUACCCUAGUAGUCCACGCUGUAAACGAUGAGAACUAAAUAUUGCCGUGAGGCAGUGUUGAAGCUAACGCAUUAAGUUCUCCGCCUGGGGAGUACGCUCGCAAGAGUGAAACUUAAAGGAAUUGACGGGGACCCGCACAAGCAGUGGAGCAUGUGGUUUAAUUCGACGCUACGCGAAGAACCUUACCAGGGCUUGACAUGGAGGUAAAGGCUCUAGAGAUAGAGAGAU
This 945-nucleotide ribosomal RNA is filed under the name uncultured bacterium. RNAcentral's name for it is "bacterial SSU rRNA". It matches the Rfam family "Bacterial small subunit ribosomal RNA", at positions 67 to 1015 of the family's 1533-position model. The record is from RNAcentral.